Molecule: transfer RNA, 77 nt
Filed under: Candidatus Omnitrophota bacterium
Lineage: Bacteria; Pseudomonadati; Candidatus Omnitrophota
Description: tRNA-Glu
Rfam family: tRNA
About the family: Transfer RNA (tRNA) molecules are approximately 80 nucleotides in length. Their secondary structure includes four short double-helical elements and three loops (D, anti-codon, and T loops).
Source: RNAcentral
GUCCCCAUCGUCUAGCUUGGUCAGGACACCAGAUUUUCAUUCUGGCGACAGGGGUUCAAAUCCCCUUGGGGACGCCA